Potamilus streckersoni is the source of this 78-nucleotide non-coding RNA. NCBI's taxonomy places the organism in Eukaryota, Metazoa, Mollusca, Bivalvia, Unionida, Unionidae. The record is from the annotation of a GenBank genome assembly.
GCUAUGGUGGCUUGGUGGUUAGAGCGUCCGUCUCAAAUGCGGUAGGUCGUGGGUUCGAUACGCGGUCGAGUCAUACCA